RNAcentral lists this ribosomal RNA (445 nucleotides) under uncultured bacterium. Its description in RNAcentral is "bacterial SSU rRNA". It matches the Rfam family "Bacterial small subunit ribosomal RNA", at positions 354 to 796 of the family's 1533-position model. The record is from RNAcentral.
GUGAGGAAUAUUGGUCAAUGGACGCAAGUCUGAACCAGCCAUGCCGCGUGCAGGAUGAAUGUGCUAUGCAUUGUAAACUGCUUUUGUACGAGGGUAAAAACAGGUACGUGUACCUGGUUGAAAGUAUCGUACGAAUAAGGGUCGGCUAACUCCGUGCCAGCAGCCGCGGUAAUACGGAGGACCCGAGCGUUAUCCGGAUUUAUUGGGUUUAAAGGGUGCGUAGGCGGAUUGGUAAGUUAGAGGUGAAAGCUCAGCGCUUAACGUUGAAACUGCCUCUGAUACUGUCGGUCUAGAGUAUAGUUGCGGAAGGCGGAAUGUGUGGUGUAGCGGUGAAAUGCUUAGAUAUCACACAGAACACCGAUUGCGAAGGCAGCUUUCCAAGCUAUCACUGACGCUGAGGCACGAAAGCGUGGGGAGCGAACAGGAUUAGAAACCCUAGUAGUCC